Molecule: ribosomal RNA, 253 nt
Filed under: uncultured bacterium
Lineage: Bacteria
Description: partial 16S ribosomal RNA
Rfam family: Bacterial small subunit ribosomal RNA
Source: RNAcentral
UACGUAGGUGGCAAGCGUUAUCCGGAAUUAUUGGGCGUAAAGCGCGCGCAGGUGGUUUCUUAAGUCUGAUGUGAAAGCCCACGGCUCAACCGUGGAGGGUCAUUGGAAACUGGGAGACUUGAGUGCAGAAGAGGAAAGUGGAAUUCCAUGUGUAGCGGUGAAAUGCGUAGAGAUAUGGAGGAACACCAGUGGCGAAGGCGACUUUCUGGUCUGUAACUGACACUGAGGCGCGAAAACGUGGGGAGCAAACAGG